RNAcentral lists this ribosomal RNA (1226 nucleotides) under metagenome. RNAcentral describes it as "SSU rRNA". It matches the Rfam family "Eukaryotic small subunit ribosomal RNA", at positions 558 to 1723 of the family's 1831-position model. The record is from RNAcentral.
AGUCUGGUGCCAGCAGCCGCGGUAAUUCCAGCUCCAAUAGCGUAUCUUAAAGUUGUUGCAGUUAAAAAGCUCGUAGUCGGAUUUUGGGAGUGUGAGCGGACGGUCCAUCGAAACGAUGUGUACCUUCGGUCCACUUCUUUGCUUCGCACAGCAUGCCGUGGCCAUUGAUUUGGUGGCGGUGUUAAUGCGUGCGAUCAUUUACUUUGAAAAAAUUAGAGUGUUCAAAGCAGGCGAGUUACGGCCGUUGAAUAGUUCAGCAUGGGAUAAUGGAAUAGGACUUUCGUCUUAUUGCGUUGGUUUUCGAGACGAAGGUAAUGAUUAACAGGGACAGUUGGGGAUAUCAGUAUUUAAUUGUCAGAGGUGAAAUUCUUGGAUUUAUGAAAGACUAACUACUGCGAAAGCAUUUAUCAAGGAUGUUUUCAUUGAUCAAGAACGAAAGUUAGGGGAUCGAAGAUGAUCAGAUACCGUCGUAGUCCUAACCGUAAACUAUGCCGGCCAGGGAUUCGGAGACGUUACAAUUGGAAUGACUCCCCGAGCACCUUACAAGAAAUCAUAAGCUUUUGGGUUCUGGGGGGAGUAUGGUCGCAAGGCUGAAACUUAAAGGAAUUGACGGAAGGGCACCACCAGGAGUGGAGCUUGCGGCUUAAUUUGACCCAACACGGGAAAACUCACCAGGUCCAGACACAAGAAGGAUUGACAGAUUGAGAGCUCUUUCUUGAUUUUGUGGGUGGUGGUGCAUGGCCGUUCUUAGUUGGUGGAGUGAUUUGUCUGGUUAAUUCCGUUAACGAACGAGACCUUAACCUGCUAAAUAGUUACGCGAACCGUCUGCUGUGGGUUGAAGCCGCUAGUGCGUACGGUCCUAGCGGACCGUGCCACGGGCGGUGAAUGCCCUGAUGCGUUUGUGGCAACACUUCUUAGAGGGACUAUUCGUAUCUAGCGAAUGGAAGUUUGAGGCAAUAACAGGUCUGUAAUGCCCUUAGAUGUCCUGGGCUGCACGCGUGCUACACUGAUGAAAUCAACGAGUCCACAACCUUGGCCGGAAGGUCUGGGUAAUCUUCUGAAAUUUCAUCGUGAUGGGGAUAGAUCAUUGGAAUUAUUGAUCUUCAACGAGGAAUUCCUAGUAAGCGCAAGUCAUCAGCUUGCGUUGAUUACGUCCCUGCCCUUUGUACACACCGCCCGUCGCUCCUACCGAUGAAUGUUCCGGUGAGAACUUGGGAUUGUGACAU